Molecule: ribosomal RNA, 466 nt
Filed under: uncultured bacterium
Lineage: Bacteria
Description: partial 16S ribosomal RNA
Rfam family: Bacterial small subunit ribosomal RNA
Source: RNAcentral
GACGAACGCUGGCGGCGUGCUUAACACAUGCAAGUCGAACGGAAAGGCCCUGCUUUUGUGGGGUGCUCGAGUGGCGAACGGGUGAGUAACACGUGAGUAACCUGCCCUUGACUUUGGGAUAACUUCAGGAAACUGGGGCUAAUACCGGAUAGGAGCUCCUGCUGCAUGGUGGGGGUUGGAAAGUUUCGGCGGUUGGGGAUGGACUCGCGGCUUAUCAGCUUGUUGGUGGGGUAGUGGCUUACCAAGGCUUUGACGGGUAGCCGGCCUGAGAGGGUGACCGGCCACAUUGGGACUGAGAUACGGCCCAGACGCCUACGGGAGGCAGCAGUGGGGAAUAUUGCACAAUGGGCGGAAGCCUGAUGCAGCAACGCCGCGUGCGGGAUGAAGGCCUUCGGGUUGUAAACCGCUUUCGCCUGGGACGAAGCGUGAGUGACGGUAAUGGGUAAAGAAGCACCGGCUAACUACG